This is a long non-coding RNA of Ictalurus punctatus (channel catfish), 553 nucleotides long. Lineage: Eukaryota; Metazoa; Chordata; Actinopteri; Siluriformes; Ictaluridae. The record is from Ensembl.
GGAGGACAUGUAGAGAACGAUAGAAGGUUAGCGGCCUCUGGCUUUAUAGCGAGAGUUAGGAGGACAUGUAGAGAAUGAUAGAAGGUUAGCAUCCUCUGGCUUUAUAGCGAGAGUUAGGAGGACAUGUAGAGAAUGAUAGAAGGUUAGCGGCCUCUGGCUUUAUAGCGAGAGUUAGGAGGACAUGUAGAGAACGAUAGAAGGUUAGCGGCCUCUGGCUUUAUAGCGAGAGUUAGGAGGACAUGUAGAGAAUGAUAGAAGGUUAGCGUCCUCUAGCCUUAUAGCGAGAGUUAGGAGGACAUGUAGAGAAUGAUAGAAGGUUAGCGUCCUAUAGCCUUAUAGCGAGUUAGGAGGACAUGUAGAGAAUGAUAGAAGGUUAGCAUCCUCUGGCUUUAUAGCGAGAGUUAGGAGGACAUGUAGAGAAUGAUAGAAGGUUAGCGUCCUCUGGCUUUAUAGUGAGAGUUAGGAGGACAUGUAGAGAACGAUAGAAGGUUAGCGUCCUAUAGCCUUAUAGCGAGAGUUAGGAGGACAUGUAGAGAAUGAUAGAAGGUUAGCG